CCCGGUCCAAGCCACACAGGAAGCCCACACUGGCUUCUGAGCAGGAGUGUAACAAAAGCCAGAUGACACUGGAAAGACACGUUGGCUGCGUGGUGACCACAGAGGACAGGCUGGAGAAGGACCCGAGACGUGCAGAUGGGAGUUGUGGCAGUAGUGGCCAUCUUGAGGGACAGACACCGGGAGAAAACGAGUGAUGCGUGCAAGGAGGGGCAUCGCUGAGCCCACACAAGACUCAAGAUGGAUGAGACAGAGGCGGCCUCAGGUGCCUGCAGGUGGAGAGAGAAGCACUGGGAAGCCUGAAGGAGCAUGAGAAAGACUGUUGCUGUAAGACACGGCGCUAUCUAUGGCCUGAAUAUUUGUUAUCUGUUGAAAUCCUAACCCCGAAGGCGAGGACACAGAUGCCAUCUUGAACCAGGAAGUGGCCACACCAGACACGGAAUCUGCCAGCACCUGGUUCCUG
This 460-nucleotide long non-coding RNA is filed under the name Homo sapiens (human). RNAcentral's name for it is "non-protein coding lnc-TSTA3-5:3". Lineage: Eukaryota; Metazoa; Chordata; Mammalia; Primates; Hominidae. The record is from RNAcentral.